ACGUAGGGGGCGAGCGUUGUCCGGAAUCACUGGGUGUAAAGGGUGCUCAGGAGGGUCGAUAAGUCAGAGGUGAAAUUUCACAGCUUAACUGUGAAUGUGCCUUUGAUACUGUCGGUCUAGAGUUCAGAAGAGGGCAAUGGAAUUCUUGGUGUAGAGGUAUAAUGCAUAGAUAUCAAGAAGAACACCCAUUGCGAAGGCGGUUGCCUGGUCUGUAACUGAUGCUCAAGCACGAAAGAGUGGGGAUCAAACAG
This 251-nucleotide ribosomal RNA is filed under the name uncultured prokaryote. Its description in RNAcentral is "partial 16S rRNA". It matches the Rfam family "Bacterial small subunit ribosomal RNA", at positions 525 to 775 of the family's 1533-position model. The record is from RNAcentral.